AAAAAUGUGUGUGAGAACAUAGUUAACACUUUGUUGGCAGUCAAUGGAAAAACCAAGGAUAAUAUUAAUUCUCGAUAUGACCUUCAAGCACUCAAUAUUAGAAAGGAUCUUCAACCUAUUGAUCUUGAUGAUGAUGAAGUUUUUUUUCCUCCGGCACCUUACACAAUGAAUUCUGAUCAGCAGAGGACAUUUUGCAAAGUAUUUAAAAAUGCCAUGUUUCCUAAUGGUUAUGCAUCUGACAUACGCCGUAAUGUGCAUGUUAAGGAGAAAAAGUUAACUGGGCUAAAGAGCCAUGACAACCAUGUCCUUUUGCAAGACUUGCUGCCACUUGCAGUGAGAAGAACAUUACCAGAAAGAGUGAGUGCGGUACUGAUUCGUGUGAGCAGAUUUUUCAAGCAAAUGUACUCACAGGUUAUUCACAUAAGUGACAUGCAAAGGUUGCAGGAUGAAAUA
Molecule: ribosomal RNA, 453 nt
Filed under: Triticum aestivum (bread wheat)
Lineage: Eukaryota; Viridiplantae; Streptophyta; Magnoliopsida; Poales; Poaceae
Description: partial small subunit ribosomal RNA
Source: RNAcentral